GAUGAACGCUGGCGGCGUGCCUAAUACAUGCAAGUCGAGCGAACAGACGAGGAGCUUGCUCCUUUGACGUUAGCGGCGGACGGGUGAGUAACACGUGGAUAACCUACCUAUAAGACUGGGAUAACUUCGGGAAACCGGAGCUAAUACCGGAUAACAUGUUGAACCGCAUGGUUCAACAGUGAAAGACGGUCUUGCUGUCACUUAUAGAUGGAUCCGCGCCGCAUUAGCUAGUUGGUAAGGUAACGGCUUACCAAGGCAACGAUGCGUAGCCGACCUGAGAGGGUGAUCGGCCACACUGGAACUGAGACACGGUCCAGACUCCGACGGGAGGCAGCAGUAGGGAAUCUUCCGCAAUGGGCGAAAGCCUGACGGAGCAACGCCGCGUGAGUGAAGAAGGUCUUCGGAUCGUAAAACUCUGUUAUUAGGGAAGAACAAAUGUGUAAGUAACUAUGCACGUCUUGACGGUACCUAAGCAGAAAGCCACGGCUAACUACGU
RNAcentral lists this ribosomal RNA (496 nucleotides) under uncultured bacterium. RNAcentral's name for it is "partial 16S ribosomal RNA". It matches the Rfam family "Bacterial small subunit ribosomal RNA", at positions 28 to 506 of the family's 1533-position model. The record is from RNAcentral.